This 402-nucleotide ribosomal RNA is filed under the name uncultured bacterium. RNAcentral describes it as "bacterial SSU rRNA". It matches the Rfam family "Bacterial small subunit ribosomal RNA", at positions 355 to 774 of the family's 1533-position model. The record is from RNAcentral.
UGGGGAAUCUUGCACAAUGGGGGCAACCCUGAUGCAGCGACGCCGCGUGAGCGAUGAAGCCCUUCGGGGCGUAAAGCUCUUUCGACCGGAACGAUAAUGACGGUACCGGGAGAAGUAGCUGCGGCUAACUACGUGCCAGCAGCCGCGGUAAUACGUAGGCAGCAAGCGUUGUUCGGAGUUACUGGGCGUAAAGAGUGCGUAGGCGGUUUUCUAAGUUCGGUGUGAAAUCUCCCGGCUUAACUGGGAGGGUGCGCCGAAGACUGGGAAGCUGGAGUGUGGGAAAGGCAGGCGGAAUUCCUGGUGUAGCGGUGAAAUGCGUAGAUAUCAGGAGGAACACCGGCGGUGUAGACGGCUUGCUAGACCAUAACUGACGCUGAGGCACGAAAGCGUGGGUAGCAAACA